RNAcentral lists this ribosomal RNA (1395 nucleotides) under Salmonella enterica subsp. enterica serovar Agona str. 632182-2. Its description in RNAcentral is "bacterial LSU rRNA". It matches the Rfam family "Bacterial large subunit ribosomal RNA", at positions 1556 to 2925 of the family's 2925-position model. The record is from RNAcentral. Lineage: Bacteria; Pseudomonadati; Pseudomonadota; Gammaproteobacteria; Enterobacterales; Enterobacteriaceae.
CUGAGGCGUGACGACGAGGCACUACGGUGCUGAAGCAACAAAUGCCCUGCUUCCAGGAAAAGCCUCUAAGCAUCAGGUAACAUCAAAUCGUACCCCAAACCGACACAGGUGGUCAGGUAGAGAAUACCAAGGCGCUUGAGAGAACUCGGGUGAAGGAACUAGGCAAAAUGGUGCCGUAACUUCGGGAGAAGGCACGCUGACACGUAGGUGAAGUGAUUUACUCAUGGAGCUGAAGUCAGUCGAAGAUACCAGCUGGCUGCAACUGUUUAUUAAAAACACAGCACUGUGCAAACACGAAAGUGGACGUAUACGGUGUGACGCCUGCCCGGUGCCGGAAGGUUAAUUGAUGGGGUCAGCGCAAGCGAAGCUCCUGAUCGAAGCCCCGGUAAACGGCGGCCGUAACUAUAACGGUCCUAAGGUAGCGAAAUUCCUUGUCGGGUAAGUUCCGACCUGCACGAAUGGCGUAAUGAUGGCCAGGCUGUCUCCACCCGAGACUCAGUGAAAUUGAACUCGCUGUGAAGAUGCAGUGUACCCGCGGCAAGACGGAAAGACCCCGUGAACCUUUACUAUAGCUUGACACUGAACAUUGAGCCUUGAUGUGUAGGAUAGGUGGGAGGCUUUGAAGUGUGGACGCCAGUCUGCAUGGAGCCGACCUUGAAAUACCACCCUUUAAUGUUUGAUGUUCUAACGUGGACCCGUAAUCCGGGUUGCGGACAGUGUCUGGUGGGUAGUUUGACUGGGGCGGUCUCCUCCUAAAGAGUAACGGAGGAGCACGAAGGUUGGCUAAUCCUGGUCGGACAUCAGGAGGUUAGUGCAAUGGCAUAAGCCAGCUUGACUGCGAGCGUGACGGCGCGAGCAGGUGCGAAAGCAGGUCAUAGUGAUCCGGUGGUUCUGAAUGGAAGGGCCAUCGCUCAACGGAUAAAAGGUACUCCGGGGAUAACAGGCUGAUACCGCCCAAGAGUUCAUAUCGACGGCGGUGUUUGGCACCUCGAUGUCGGCUCAUCACAUCCUGGGGCUGAAGUAGGUCCCAAGGGUAUGGCUGUUCGCCAUUUAAAGUGGUACGCGAGCUGGGUUUAGAACGUCGUGAGACAGUUCGGUCCCUAUCUGCCGUGGGCGCUGGAGAACUGAGGGGGGCUGCUCCUAGUACGAGAGGACCGGAGUGGACGCAUCACUGGUGUUCGGGUUGUCAUGCCAAUGGCACUGCCCGGUAGCUAAAUGCGGAAGAGAUAAGUGCUGAAAGCAUCUAAGCACGAAACUUGCCCCGAGAUGAGUUCUCCCUGAGACUUAGAGUCUCCUGAAGGAACGUUGAAGACGACGACGUUGAUAGGCCGGGUGUGUAAGCGCAGCGAUGCGUUGAGCUAACCGGUACUAAUGAACCGUGAGGCUUAACCUUAC